UGUAUUUGUGGACAUGAGGAUGGUUA
Molecule: non-coding RNA, 26 nt
Filed under: Rattus norvegicus (Norway rat)
Lineage: Eukaryota; Metazoa; Chordata; Mammalia; Rodentia; Muridae
Source: RNAcentral